CUUUCUAUAUCUAUAAUAAUUUUCUUAUCAUCUAGAAAAUCUUUAGUGCUAUAAUAACAAUUAUUUAUUAAAAACUCAAAUAAUUUACUUUUAAAUGACACAAUGUUAAGAUUUUUUAGGUCGUUUGGAAGUUUAUUAUAAAUUUUGAUAGCCAUACAAUAUGAAUUUCUGCUAUAUAGUGUUGUGCGUUGGCUCGGUACAGAUGUUUUUUUUAUAUAUUUAUGUAAAUAUUAUAAAUGAUAUUGCUUAAGUUGUCGAAUAAUCUUGUAGGAUGUUAUGUUGAUUGGAGUUUGUAAAACUGUAUUUGCCUGUUGUUUUUCUAAUUUGCGAAUUUGUGCUUAAGAUACUGCAGAGUAUAAAUCGAGUUUGAUUUUAGUUUGUUCAAGGAUCGAAAGACUUUUUACCGCUUUACUCAUACUCUAAAAGAAAAGAUCAUUUUCAUCCAUUUCCACCUCCCGUCUUGCGUUUUGUUUUUGAAUUCUUAGAUCAUUUGAUGAUUUCAAUUCAAAUCUAUUGAUUUUAUGUACUCCCUAAGAUACCCUUGCACUUUUCUUCUGCCUCCCUUACACUUAUCUCACGAUGACGCCUUAAAAAUUACUGGUACCAUGUGUCCCCUGGUAUCCUUAAAUGGGUUUUUCAUCCCAGUUUCACGAUUAAUUUUCGACACACUUUCAAGAAGUUCUGUUUUAUUUAUAGGAAAUCCAUAUUUAGCCAUAUCUAAUACCCAAUUUUUUAACUUUUCUUCACCCUCAAGUCCCAAAACAAUAAUACAUAUUUUGACACACAAAGCAUCUAUCUAUAAUAUCUGUGUUGAAUAAUAAAUAAUAAUAUGUUUUACUUAAGGUUUUAAGGUAGGUUAAAAAAAAUCGUAGUAAGUAGAGUCUGUCAAGCGAGUAGUCCCAUGAAAAAAGGCGACAAUUUCAAAUAUCUUUCAGGUGUCAACACUGAUAUAGGACGCUGAAAACGUAUUGAUACUUGAAUUUUUGAUUAAAAAAAAAAACAUUUGAAAUAAAUAAAAAAAGAACCUUUCAAUGUAAGUAUUUGUCACAAUCAGAACUAAAAUCAGAAUCAAGAAAUUCAAUGCCUUCAUAUGAGAAAUCACUGUUCCAACUCAGUUUCGGAUAUCCUCUCUUACUUUAUAUUUGUUAUCGACACUAAUAGUGUGAUCUGUGCAUUUUUUCCAAUCAUUGGCUGUGACACUAUUAAAACAUUCUUUAAUAAGGUUCUCCUUUUCAUUACCUGGAAUCCCUAAAUUUUUGCUGGCUAUUUUUCUUUUAGCCAAGCUCCAUAUGAGUUCAAUAGCGUUCAGGUCACAAUGAUAUGGUGGAAGUUUCAAAACUUCAUGACCAUGUUGUUUCAAACAUUCUUCAGCUUCAUAUAUUGGAGUUGUUUUAUUUUCAUUCACAAGGCACAUAAGCUCAGCCCUUGUGAAAAAUUCUUCAUAAUGGAUUCCAUUUUCAGUUAGCCAAUUCUGAAUGUCAACCUUUAAAUCAUUCAUAAUUGGUUUCUUAUUUAUUUGUGUUACAUGGUAGCUAGCGUUGUCCACACACACUGGGCUGACUUAAAUUAGGUAUUAAAUUUUCACGUAAUCAUAAAAUUAUUUCUGUUCAUAUCAUCAUGAUAAUCUGCCAUUUAAGAUUUAGUACUGAAUACUAAUAUAGCAUUGGGGACAAAACCUUUUUCGGAUCCAGCAUGAACAACAAUAUGUCUUUUGCCUGAUAAUAUUUUAUCAAUUACACCGCUUGUUGGCAUGGCCCUUGCCAUGAUUUUUUAACUUUAUAAUUUUGGUGGACAUAGGUUUCAUCGAGGUAAACUAUUAAUUUUCCUUGUUUCCACUUUUCAUCAAUUGCUCUGAGAUACCUACAUAUGUCGCCAUGCAGCUAGUUCAUUCUUUUCAAGAAGAAGAGAUCUCUUUUUUUUUUAAUUCAAAUCCUUUUUAAUAGGUUUCGGCAUUUAACAUUAAACACCUCAACAAAAACCGGAUUAUUACCGGAUUAUUACAACAGAAUUUGUGACAAUCUGUUUGACAGAUCAUAG
This is a long non-coding RNA of Helicoverpa armigera (cotton bollworm), 2037 nucleotides long. RefSeq lists it as uncharacterized. The transcript is spliced from 2 exons. The record is from RefSeq and is a predicted model, not a curated record. NCBI's taxonomy places the organism in Eukaryota, Metazoa, Arthropoda, Insecta, Lepidoptera, Noctuidae.